AAUCACGUGUUGCUUUUGCAGCUGUUUAUCCAGGGCCGGGAGAUUCACAAUGUAAAGAGGGUGCAUUAUCUGUUAAGAGGGCCCUUGAUUUCAACUUCCAGGAUGUGGAUGGAUUAUUGCGUCUUGUGCGGGUCGCCAUGGAAGCUAUCAGCCAUUAGAGUGCAAGCUGUUGUUGAAAUUGUCCACUUCUUGGAACAUAGUUUUGUACCUGCUCUCCAUUACUGUCAGUUGAGCAAGUAAAAGCGAGGAUCUCUUGGUUGGAGUUAAGGGGAGUCUUGGAGUAACGGUAAAGUUGUCUCUAUGUCACAUGAACUGGGUUCAAGCCAAGGAAUCAAUCACUGAUAAGCAUCAGGGAAGGCUGCCUUCAACACACCCCUUGGAGAGUGGUCCAUCUCCAGACCUAGUCUGAACGUGGAUGCUUCAUACACCGGGCUGUCAGAAAUUCACAUCAUUCAGUUGCCCGUUACUUGUCCUACUGACUUGGUACAUAAGAAACCGAGAUAACUUGUUGGUUUUGAC
RNAcentral lists this unclassified non-coding RNA (519 nucleotides) under Hevea brasiliensis (rubber tree). The record is from RNAcentral. Lineage: Eukaryota; Viridiplantae; Streptophyta; Magnoliopsida; Malpighiales; Euphorbiaceae.